UGUCUUUUGUGUGAAGACUCUUCUGCCCCUCUUUUUUUUUUUUUUUUUUUUCCUUCCCUGAUUUUACUCUCUACCAUUCAUUUUAUUUCUUCACCUUUGAGUUGCUUUUUUCCUCUUCUAAGGUACGCUCAAUCUCUCCUCUUGAUUGAAGUGCGCACUCUGAAUCCUCCAUUGAAGCGCCUUCUUAGCUAUCUCUCCUCCUUUGAAGCAGCUUUUGAGGUUGUGUCAGUCUGCUCAGCAUGAACCUGCAGCAAGCUGCGCAGCCAAGAACUUCUGCUAAAGGUUUAAUCGCCGCAGAGUUGAAAAAGAGAACAGCAACAGGAUGGAUAUAAAAUCACAGCCUGGAAAAUCAAAUCCCGAUAGAGUGACAAGUGCAGGUGAAGAUCUUUAAUAUAAGUGCUCCACUAAUUUGUCAUUUGCAACUUCAUAGUUUUAUUUUUGAUGCAUGUAUAACAAGUGGCAGCAGAAGUGUAGGGUCUGAGAGUCCUUCGCGAGAUCGACUUGUGUAGUUGACAACCUGUCUAAUUGGACAUCAUGUAGAAGUCCAGGUUAAAAAUGGAUCGGUUUACUCUGGAAUUUUCCAUGCGACAAGCGCCAAUAAAGAUUUUGGGGCUGUCUUGAAAAUGGCUCGAUUGAUAAAGAAUGUCUCUCUUUAGGCACAAAAGGUUACCUCUGAUUCAGUUGUCAAGGCUCCGUCAAAAACUCUUAUAACACCAGCUAAUGAACUUGUGCAAAUUGUGGCUAAGGCCUUCGUCCGUACUCUUCGUUUUACAGGUUUUUUAUGUACAGGGAAUGCAUGAUUGAAUCAGGUAUAAAUUAUUGUUUUUUGAAUUGAAGAAGGGACUUGUAGCCAUUGUAUGUGUUCUGUGUGUUAUAACUAUGAUUGGCCAACAAUACCCGUAGCUGGGUUGGAUGCAAAGCUUGCUCUCAUUGGUGUUUUGCUGCCUGUGGUGUUGAGAAUACUCUAAUAAGACAUGGCCUUUGCUUGAAGGGGUUUUUCCUUUCUUAAAUUAGGUGGGGGAUUAGGCGGGGGAUUGGAAGGAUGAGUUUGGCUUCAUGUUAGCUGACAUUUUGAAGCAAAAUAAAGUAAAUAAUCAGGCAUGAGAUUUGAACCCGGGGGCCAAUAAGGAGGAGAUCGAGAAGGAGGCUCUUUACCGAGUUCAAGCUCAAAAAAUUCUGAAAAGUCGAAAGAGUUCAGGCUCUUCACUCUUUUGUGGGGUGUGCUGCAGAACAACAACCUCAUUGAUGCUUUGUGUUUAAUCUUGUAAUUUAUAGCUUAAGUAGCAAUUACAUUUGAGUGAACAUGUGCAAUUUUUCACGAUUUUUCCCCCUUUUUCCCUUCUGUAUUGUUAUGGGAAAUUCGUUAACGUAAUUAGUAAUUGAAAUUGAAGUAGCAUUCAUUAUUAUGAAAGGAUUGUAGAAUUAAUACUUUUAUUAUACAUGCAAUUCAAUAUGCAAAGAUAUGUAAUUCUAA
Long non-coding RNA from Chenopodium quinoa (quinoa), 1474 nucleotides. RefSeq lists it as uncharacterized. The transcript has 4 exons. The record is from RefSeq and is a predicted model, not a curated record. NCBI's taxonomy places the organism in Eukaryota, Viridiplantae, Streptophyta, Magnoliopsida, Caryophyllales, Amaranthaceae.